This 494-nucleotide ribosomal RNA is filed under the name uncultured bacterium. Its description in RNAcentral is "bacterial SSU rRNA". It matches the Rfam family "Bacterial small subunit ribosomal RNA", at positions 36 to 518 of the family's 1533-position model. The record is from RNAcentral.
CUGGCGGCGUGCCUAACACAUGCAAGUCGAGCGGGGACAUGCGACGGAACGGAAGUUUCGGAUGGAAGUGAAGAUGUAUGUUCUAGCGGCGGACGGGUGAGUAACGCGUGAGCAACCUGCCUUCACAGGGGGAUAACACAGCGAAAGUUGUACUAAUACCGCAUAAGACCACACCGGGGCAUCCCGGAGGGGUCAAAGGAGCAAUCCGGUGAAGGGUGGGCUCGCGUCCGAUUAGAUAGUUGGUGGGGUAACGGCCUACCAAGUCGACGAUCGGUAGCCGACCUGAGAGGGUGAUCGGCCACAUUGGGACUGAGACACGGCCCAAACUCCUACGGGAGGCAGCAGUGGGGAAUAUUGGGCAAAUGGGGGAAACCCUGACCCAGCAACGCCGCGUGAGGGAAGAAGGUUUUCGGAUCGUAAACCUCUGUCCCAGGUGAAGAGGAAGAGACGGUAGCCUGGGAGGAAGCCCCGGCUAACUACGUGCCAGCCGCGGC